This 282-nucleotide ribosomal RNA is filed under the name uncultured bacterium. RNAcentral's name for it is "partial 16S ribosomal RNA". It matches the Rfam family "Bacterial small subunit ribosomal RNA", at positions 355 to 629 of the family's 1533-position model. The record is from RNAcentral.
UAGGGAAUCUUCCACAAUGGACGCAAGUCUGAUGGAGCAACGCCGCGUGAGUGAAGAAGGUUUUCGGAUCGUAAAGCUCUGUUGUUGGUGAAGAAGGAUAGAGGCAGUAACUGGUCUUUAUUUGACGGUAAUCAACCAGAAAGUCACGGCUAACUACGUGCCAGCAGCCGCGGUAAUACGUAGGUGGCAAGCGUUGUCCGGAUUUAUUGGGCGUAAAGCGAGCGCAGGCGGAAUGAUAAGUCUGAUGUGAAAGCCCACGGCUCAACCGUGGAACUGCAUCGG